This 253-nucleotide ribosomal RNA is filed under the name uncultured bacterium. RNAcentral's name for it is "partial 16S ribosomal RNA". It matches the Rfam family "Bacterial small subunit ribosomal RNA", at positions 524 to 776 of the family's 1533-position model. The record is from RNAcentral.
UACGUAGGGUGCGAGCGUUAAUCGGAAUUACUGGGCGUAAAGUGUGCGCAGGCGGCCGCGCAAGUCGAGUGUGAAAUCCCCGAGCUUAACUUGGGAAUUGCGCUCGAAACUACGUGGCUGGAGUGUGGCAGAGGAAGGUGGAAUUCCACGUGUAGCGGUGAAAUGCGUAGAGAUGUGGAGGAACACCGAUGGCGAAGGCAGCCUUCUGGGCCAACACUGACGCUCAGGCACGAAAGCGUGGGGAGCAAACAGG